ACGGAGGGUGCGAGCGUUGUCCGGAAUCACUGGGCGUAAAGGGCGCGUAGGCGGCCGUUCAAGGGCGCGGUGAAAGCCCGGGGCUCAACCCCGGGUCUGCCGUGCCGACUGUCAAACUCGAGGACUGUAGAGGCAGACGGAAUUCCGGGUGUAGCGGUGGAAUGCGUAGAGAUCCGGAGGAAGACCGGUGGCGAAGGCGGUCUGCUGGGCAGUUUCUGACACUGAGGCGCGACAGCGUAGGGAGCAAACAGGA
This 253-nucleotide ribosomal RNA is filed under the name uncultured prokaryote. RNAcentral describes it as "partial 16S ribosomal RNA". It matches the Rfam family "Bacterial small subunit ribosomal RNA", at positions 525 to 777 of the family's 1533-position model. The record is from RNAcentral.